This 835-nucleotide ribosomal RNA is filed under the name uncultured bacterium. RNAcentral describes it as "bacterial SSU rRNA". It matches the Rfam family "Bacterial small subunit ribosomal RNA", at positions 22 to 827 of the family's 1533-position model. The record is from RNAcentral.
GCUCAGAACGAACGCUGGCGGCGUGCCUGAGACAUGCAAGUCGUGGGAGAAUUUCGUAGCAAUACGAAUAGUAACCAGGCGUACGGGUGAGUAACACGUGGAUAACGUGCCUUGAAGCCAGGGAUAACCAGUCGAACGACGGACUAAUACCGGAUAAGACCACGGGAAGUUCGCUUCCUGAGGUAACAGGUGGCCUCUGCUCCUGCAAGCUAUCACUUCUAGAGUGGUCCGCGGCCUAUCAGCUAGUUGGUGAGGUAACGGCUCACCAAGGCGAACAGGAUUAGCUGGUCUAAGAGGAUGGUCAGGGACCCUGGGACUGAGACACGGCCAAGAGUCCUACGGGAUGCAGCAGUCAGGAAUAUUGCGCAAUGGAGGAACCUCUGACGCAGCGACGCCGCGUGGGUGAUGAAGGCCUUCGGGUCGUAACGCCAUGUCGGAAGGGAAGAACAGUUUGCUGGCUAAUAUCCAGCGAACCUUUGACGGUACCUUCAACGGAAGCACCGGCUAACUCCGUGCCAGCAGCCGCGGUAAGACGGAGGGUGCAAGCGUUGUUCGGAUUGACUGGGCUUAACGGGCGUGUAGGCGGUUCGUUAAGUCGGGUGUGAACGCCAGGGGCUCAGCUCCGGAAGUGCGCCAGAACCUGGCGAGUUGGAGUGCGGUAGAGGAGGGUGGAAUUCCUGGUGUAGCGGUGAACUGCGUAGAUAUCAGGAGGAACACCGGCGGCGAAGGCGGCCAUCUGGACCGUUGCUGACGUUGAGACGCGAACGCGUGGGGAGUAACCAGGAUUAGAUACCAUGGUAGUCCACGCUGUAACCGAUGGGUACUAGGUGUUCGG